UAGUUGGUAAGGUAAUGGCUUACCAAGGCGAAGACGGGUAGCUGGUCUGAGAGGAUGAUCAGCCACACUGGUACUGGAACACGGACCAGACUCUACGGGAGGCAGCAGUGGGGAAUAUUGGGCAAUGGGCGGAAGCCUGACCCAGCCACGCCGCGUGAGUGAUGAAGGCCUUCGGGGUUGUAAAAGCUCUGUGGGAAGGGGCGAAAAACUCAGACCUAAUACGUCUGAGGUUGACGGUACCUUCUUAGCAAGCACCGGCUAACUCUGUGCCAGCAGCCGCGGUAAGACAGAGGGUGCAAACGUUGCUCGGAUUUACUGGGCGUAAAAGCGCGUGUAGGCGGGCGAAUAAGUCGGGUGUGAAAUCCCCUGGGGCUCAACCUAGGAACUGCAUCCGAAACUGUUCACCUGGAGUGAUGGAGAGGAAGGCGGAAUUCCCGGUGUAGAGGUGAAAUUCGUAGAUAUCGGGGAGGAACACCAGUGGCGAAGGCGGCCUUCUGGACAUUUACUGACGCUGAGACGCGAAAGCGUGAG
Molecule: ribosomal RNA, 531 nt
Filed under: uncultured bacterium
Lineage: Bacteria
Description: bacterial SSU rRNA
Rfam family: Bacterial small subunit ribosomal RNA
Source: RNAcentral